Molecule: long non-coding RNA, 406 nt
Organism: Phyllostomus discolor (pale spear-nosed bat)
Lineage: Eukaryota; Metazoa; Chordata; Mammalia; Chiroptera; Phyllostomidae
Exons: 4
Source: RefSeq, a predicted model, not a curated record
UUUCCAAAAUAAGUGGGUAAAUUGUGGUUUGAAAAGAAGCUUUGGGGAGGUGAUGAAUUAUUUUGCACCAGUAAUAGGGAAAAAUGGUAUGACCUCCAAUAAACACAUGAAUGGUUACUUCCUGCAGUGGGAAUCAUUUAGGGGGUAUGGAACUCUCAAAUCUCUCACAUGUCCUGGUUUUGCCCUUGUUUAAACAUUGUCUAUCCUUUCUGAAAUUUCAGCUUUCCACAUUCUGCUGAAAUCCUGACUCUUCACAAAUUUAGACCCGUUUUAUGUUCCUCAUGCUCCUCUUUCCUGUUACCUCCCCAAAACCAGUUUCUGUUUAAGCCACAUACCCAGUCUCCUAGGCAUUCUGUAUCAGCUCCUGGGAUGUGUCAAUUGCAUCAAAUGAUGAACCACUGCUUUU